GUCCUUGUGCGGCGUUGUGGGAGGGGCCUAGCCUUUUACCGGCCAAUCCUGGCGGCAUCCCUCAUUUGCAUUAAAAUCGGAGCGGUCAGAGUGCAGUACGCUCGAGCACACUGUGCUUGACAUUGCGGAAAUAGAGAGACUCACUGGGGUCCUUGCAAGACAUUGGCAGGUGAACUGCAAGAUCUCCCUUUGCGGAUGAUGUUGUUGGCCAUGUACGUGACGUAGGCAAUUGAAGAGCACCUUGCAUCUCUGAUUGUGUAUCUGUGUAGUCCAGAGUGUCGUCCGCCAUCAUCAGGGAAAAAAUGAUGGCUCCCCACUAUUAUAUUAUUCAGUGGUAUAAACAAUAGAUGGCUGGUUACCCUAAUUUAAUUGAAAAUACUCUGUUAUAAUACACAGAGACACAUACAAAGAAGAGUUUCACAACUACUUUAAGUAACUCAGUGAACUGCUGUAAUUGCAGUCGUUUUGCCCGGAGGAUAAAGAAUAUACUGGAAAUCAACAUCCGCCAAACUGCUGCUUGUUGCGAAGUAAACCGAGGGCAGUUAUGGUCGAACCCUAUAAACUCUGCCUAGCAACUAGUGGCCAGAAGGGGGUGACAAGAAAUAUGACUUGAUUCUGGUAAAAAUGAGGAGGCAUGGUGGGCGGUAGGUCCCGUAUGACCCAAGGGCCAAACGGAUUAACUUUUAAACAUGAUCUGGACAGGGAAUGUCAAUCUGGAUCACAUUUAAAACUGCAGCUC
Molecule: long non-coding RNA, 739 nt
Organism: Hippocampus comes (tiger tail seahorse)
Lineage: Eukaryota; Metazoa; Chordata; Actinopteri; Syngnathiformes; Syngnathidae
Exons: 3
Source: RefSeq, a predicted model, not a curated record